CUACGGGUGGCUGCAGUUUCGAAUAAUUCACAAUGGGCGCAAGCCUGAUGAUGCGACGUUACGUGAAGGAAGAAAGCUUUAAGUUGUAAACUUCUGUCGUUAAGGAACAAAAAAUUAAGUAGUACUUUUUAUAUUGAGUUAACUUAAAAAGGAAGCAGUGGCUAAUUUCGUGCCAGCAGCCGCGGUAAUACGGGAACUGCAAGCGUUGCUUGGUUUUAUUGGGCGUAAAGAGUACGUAGGCUGUUAUAUAUGUUAAUUGUUAAAUUUUAAAGUUAAUCUUUAAAUUUGCUGUUAAAACUAUAUAACUAGAUUUUCAAAGAGGUAAGUGGAAUUUCAAGUGUAGCGGUGAAAUGCGUAGAUAUUUGAAGGAACACCAAUGGCGAAAGCAACUUACUGGGUGAUAAUUGACGCUAAAGUACGAAAGUAUAGGGAGCAAAAGGGAUUAGAUACCCCAGUAGUC
Molecule: ribosomal RNA, 460 nt
Filed under: uncultured bacterium
Lineage: Bacteria
Description: partial 16S ribosomal RNA
Rfam family: Bacterial small subunit ribosomal RNA
Source: RNAcentral